ACUAAAGUUGUUGCAGUUAAAAAGCUCGUAUUUGAAUUUCUGGUCGCGGCAGUCGGUCCGCCCCUCGCGGGGUGUGUACCUGGCUUCUGCAGCCAUCCUCGUGGAGAGCACAUCUGACAUUAAGUUGCCGGGUGUGGGAUCCACGUCAUUUACUGUGAGCAAAAUAGAGUGUUCAAAGCAGGCUUAGGCCGUUGAAUACAUUAGCAUGGAAUAAUAAGAUAGGACCUUGGUCUAUUUUGUUGGUUUGUACUCCAAGGUAAUGAUUAAUAGGGAUAGUUGGGGGUAUUCGUAUUCAAUUGUCAGAGGUGAAAUUCUUGGAUUUAUGGAAGACGAACUACUGCGAAAGCAUUUACCAAGGAUGUUUUCAUUAAUCAAGAACGAAAGGUAGGGGAUCGAAGAUGAUUAGAUACCAUCGUAGUCUUAACCAUAAACUAUGCCGACUGGGGAUCGG
RNAcentral lists this ribosomal RNA (451 nucleotides) under uncultured eukaryote. Its description in RNAcentral is "SSU rRNA". It matches the Rfam family "Eukaryotic small subunit ribosomal RNA", at positions 603 to 1056 of the family's 1831-position model. The record is from RNAcentral.